This 368-nucleotide ribosomal RNA is filed under the name Centropyge multispinis (dusky angelfish). RNAcentral's name for it is "partial 12S ribosomal RNA". It matches the Rfam family "Bacterial small subunit ribosomal RNA", at positions 803 to 1372 of the family's 1533-position model. The record is from RNAcentral. Lineage: Eukaryota; Metazoa; Chordata; Actinopteri; Pomacanthidae.
UAAACAUAGACAGUUUAUACACCUAACUGUCCGCCCGGGAACUACGAGCGCUAGCUUAAAACCCAAAGGACUUGGCGGUGCUUUAGACCCACCUAGAGGAGCCUGUUCUAGAAUCGAUAACCCCCGUUCAACCUCACCCUUCCUUGCUCUUUCCGCCUAUAUACCACCGUCGUCAGUUUACCCUGUGAGGGUCGAACAGUAAGCACAAUUGGCUCACCCCUAAAACGUCAGGUCAAGGUGUAGCGAAUGGAAGGGAAAGAAAUGGGCUACAUUGCUUGACACCAAGGCAUACGAACUAUAUGUUGAAAUACAUAACUGAAGGAGGAUUUAGCAGUAAGCAGGAAAUAGAGUGUCCCGCUGAAAUCGGC